UGGGGAAUAUUGGGCAAUGGGCGAAAGCCUGACCCAGCGACGCCGCGUGGGUGAUGAAGGCCUUCGGGUUGUAAAACCCUUUCGUGCGGAAAGAAUAGUCCUGUAGCGAAUAACUACGGGAUUUGACGGUACCGCAGGAAGAAGCACCGGCUAACUCCGUGCCAGCAGCCGCGGUAAUACGGAGGGUGCAAGCGUUGUUCGGAAUUAUUGGGCGUAAAGGGCGCGUAGGUGGUUGUGAUAGUCAGAUGUGAAAUCCUUCGGCUCAACCGAAGAAGUGCAUCGGAGACGGCAUAGCGCGGGUACAGGAGAGGGGAGCGGAGUGGACGGUGUAGGGGUGAGGUGCGUAGAGAUGGGGAGGGACACCAGUGGGGGGGGCGGGGUCCUGGCCUGGUACUG
RNAcentral lists this ribosomal RNA (396 nucleotides) under uncultured bacterium. Its description in RNAcentral is "bacterial SSU rRNA". It matches the Rfam family "Bacterial small subunit ribosomal RNA", at positions 355 to 742 of the family's 1533-position model. The record is from RNAcentral.